Pezoporus flaviventris is the source of this 1254-nucleotide long non-coding RNA. RefSeq lists it as uncharacterized. Lineage: Eukaryota; Metazoa; Chordata; Aves; Psittaciformes; Psittacidae. The transcript has 7 exons. The record is from RefSeq and is a predicted model, not a curated record.
UUAGUUUUGUGCCGGUGAAUAGAUGUUUUAUGGCAAAAUGAGUAACUCAUAAAAGUUUAUCAUUUAAACUUUUGCAGAAAUCAACCACUGUAGAAUGUCCAAAAGUUAGAAUUACCUGCUGUUACCAAAACUGUCAGAAAUAAGUGGGAGAGUUGUGGUGGCAGGGCAGUUGCUUGCAUUUCUUGGGUAAGGUUUGACUCAUCCUUUAAAAAAGAAAAGAGAAAUAAACCAAAUUAAACAGGAAUCACAGAAAACUGAGAUCUGAAGUUUGAAAACUGUCCUGCUUGAAGACUAUUUGGAGUUAUAACACUGAAUUUAAUCAGAAUCUUCUCCAAAUUUUUUUCUGUGAUACUUCUUAUAAAUCAGGAAAGUUUUUCAAUAAAAACAGUGGGAUACCUGUAACAAAAACUGGUAAUCACAGAAAUGUGAAUGAAGUGUGCUUCAAGGAACGACUAAAACGGUGUUACGUCCCCUGACCUGGACUGUGGCCACAGCAGCAUGAGGCCUGACUGGGACACCCCAGCAGCGCAGCAGCAGAGCACAUGCAAGGUGAGAGCAGGUUACCUGUGCUCCAGAGAUGCCCACUCUCAGAUUGGGAGUGCCCUGUCUAUUCUUCCAGCACCUGAGCCAAACCCAUAACCACGGAAUGGGCAAGCAAAGCCAUAAGUGCCUACGUGCCCCUGCUCUUCACUGUAUCUGGCUCAACUGCUUGAAUACCAUGACUCACUCCACUGGUAGAGGGUACAGGUGAGCAUGGAAGAACAAUCUCUCUCUUGCAAGGAAGUUAAAAUUUCUCAAGUUGAUUACCUUCAAUAGCCUUUCAACCUCUUUUAAUAUGGCUGAAAGCCUGAACCUGUUCAUGACUUAAGAUUCUCACUUGUUCCCUGAUCUAGCAGCAGUAGGAAAUAGGAAAGUGGCCACAUUGACAAAUACUCCAGAAUACUGGUGUCAGUUCAUGUAGAUCACUGACCAAAGUGACUAAAUACAAGUGAGAACAUUGCUGGUCACUUUAGCUGCCUGAAGGUUAGUGCCAUACACAUACCUUUGGAUACUUAGUCACUUUUUUCAGUGCUGUUCAGUAUGCCAGUACUGGGAGAACAAGAGCCUAACAACCUAGCUUUUUGUGCAACAGGAGUAGCAUAACACUUGGUUAAUAAAUUGCCUGUGUAACAGAUAAAUUGAGACCAAAACGUUCUGUCUUUCUGAAUCCUGAAAAUGCACUUCAGGCAGAACAGAACUGCUGUUUCACACCAU